RNAcentral lists this ribosomal RNA (469 nucleotides) under uncultured bacterium. RNAcentral's name for it is "partial 16S ribosomal RNA". It matches the Rfam family "Bacterial small subunit ribosomal RNA", at positions 28 to 507 of the family's 1533-position model. The record is from RNAcentral.
GAUGAACGCUGGCGGCGCGCCUAACACAUGCAAGUCGAACGGUUAAAGCACCUUUUAGGUGUGUAUAAGGUGGCGAACGGCUGAGUAACACGUGGGCAACCUGCCCUCCUCUUGGGGAUAGACUCGGGAAACCGAGGAUAAUACCCGAUACUUCAAUGUGGCCGCAUGACGACAUUGAGAAAGCUUUUGCGGAGAAGGAUGGGCCCGCGGCCUGUUAGCUUGUUGGUGGGGUAGAGGCCUACCAAGGCAAUGAUGGGUAGCUGGGUUGAGAGACCGACCAGCCAGAUUGGGACUUGGACACGGCCCAGACUCCUACGGGAGGCAGCAGUGGGGAAUCUUGCACAAUGGGCGAAAGCCUGAUGCAACGACGCCGCGUGCGGGACGAAGGCCUUCGGGUUGUAAACCGCUUUCAGCAGGGACGAGGCGAUAAGUGACGGUACCUGCAGAAGAAGCCCCGGCUAACUACGUG